This 554-nucleotide ribosomal RNA is filed under the name uncultured bacterium. Its description in RNAcentral is "partial 16S ribosomal RNA". It matches the Rfam family "Bacterial small subunit ribosomal RNA", at positions 355 to 902 of the family's 1533-position model. The record is from RNAcentral.
UGGGGAAUUUUGGACAAUGGGCGAAAGCCUGAUCCAGCAAUGCCGCGUGUGUGAAGAAGGCCUUCGGGUUGUAAAGCACUUUUGUCCGGAAAGAAAUCCUUGGCUCUAAUACAGUCGGGGGAUGACGGUACCGGAAGAAUAAGCACCGGCUAACUACGUGCCAGCAGCCGCGGUAAUACGUAGGGUGCAAGCGUUAAUCGGAAUUACUGGGCGUAAAGCGUGCGCAGGCGGUUUGCUAAGACCGAUGUGAAAUCCCCGGGCUCAACCUGGGAACUGCAUUGGUGACUGGCAGGCUAGAGUAUGGCAGAGGGGGGUAGAAUUCCACGUGUAGCAGUGAAAUGCGUAGAGAUGUGGAGGAAUACCGAUGGCGAAGGCAGCCCCCUGGGCCAAUACUGACGCUCAUGCACGAAAGCGUGGGGAGCAAACAGGAUUAGAUACCCUGGUAGUCCACGCCCUAAACGAUGUCAACUAGUUGUUGGGGAUUCAUUUCCUUAGUAACGUAGCUGAUGCGUGAAGUUGACCGCCUGGGGAGUACGGUCGCAAGAUUAAAACUU